Molecule: long non-coding RNA, 398 nt
Filed under: Homo sapiens (human)
Lineage: Eukaryota; Metazoa; Chordata; Mammalia; Primates; Hominidae
Description: long non-coding RNA NONHSAT213838.1
Source: RNAcentral
UAGGUGAUGGAAAUUAGAGUCCUGCUUAAAAAAUACAGAUGUUCUGGAAUAUCAAGCAACAAUUUCAAGCUUUCACACUUCUGGAUUGAAACACAGUUUAAAGAGGGAAUAAAAACCUGAAGAAAGAGCCACAGGACUGGACUGAGCUAAGGCAUGUUAAUAGCCAUGUUCUAGAGAAACGAUCUAUGAACUCCUCUGCUGAGGUCCCCACACCUGUCCUUGUUCUCUUUCUUCCCGAGGCUGAGUGUCUUUCCUGCUGUUCUGUGAUGCUUUUGCAACACUAAUGAAUAAAUCUCUCUCCAGGAAUUGUUUUCUUUUUCAUGAAACACCUCUCUCCUCCCUUAUCUCACCACAAAAAAGUAAAAAAAUAAAAGAAUAUUUAAUGUUCAGAAUCCACA